CCUACGGGAGGCAGCAGUGAGGAAUAUUGGUCAAUGGACGCGAGUCUGAACCAGCCAAGUAGCGUGAAGGAUGACUGCCCUAUGGGUUGUAAACUUCUUUUAUAUGGGAAUAAAACGUUCCACGUGUGAGAUUUUGUAUGUACCAUAUGAAUAAGGAUCGGCUAACUCCGUGCCAGCAGCCGCGGUAAUACGGAGGAUCCGGGCGUUAUCCGGAUUUAUUGGGUUUAAAGGGAGCGUAGGUGGAUUGUUAAGUGAGUUGUGAAAGUUUGCGGCUCAACCGUAAAAUUGCAGUUGAAACUGGCAGUCUUGAGUACAGUAGAGGUGGGCGGAAUUCGUGGUGUAGCGGUGAAAUGCUUAGAUAUCACGAAGAACUCCGAGUGCGAAGGCAGUUCACUGGACUGCAACUGACACUGAGGCUCGAAAGUGUGGGUAUCAAACAGGAUUAGAUACCCGUGUAGUC
This 460-nucleotide ribosomal RNA is filed under the name uncultured bacterium. RNAcentral's name for it is "partial 16S ribosomal RNA". It matches the Rfam family "Bacterial small subunit ribosomal RNA", at positions 338 to 795 of the family's 1533-position model. The record is from RNAcentral.